Non-coding RNA from Mycobacterium triviale, 68 nucleotides. The record is from Rfam. NCBI's taxonomy places the organism in Bacteria, Bacillati, Actinomycetota, Actinomycetes, Mycobacteriales, Mycobacteriaceae.
UUGGCGGUCGGGUCGAUCUCGCGGGUGACCACCAGGUAUUCCCGCAGCGCGAUCGCAUGCAGGUGCUC